Molecule: long non-coding RNA, 1359 nt
Organism: Xyrauchen texanus (razorback sucker)
Lineage: Eukaryota; Metazoa; Chordata; Actinopteri; Cypriniformes; Catostomidae
Exons: 3
Source: RefSeq, a predicted model, not a curated record
GACAUGGAUACGUCCUGAGGAUACAGCAACACCUGCUGCUCUCUCUAACAACUUCUCCUUCUCCCACACCCCUCGACAUACUGGUAGGGGUGGGGGAACAGGUCAGCUGACAAGCUUUCUUGAGGAAUUGGAUGUCCUGCUGUCCUCCUUGCCAGAGGAUGGCAGGCCACUUGUGGUUCUUGGUGAUUUCAACAUACACCAGGACAAACCCCAGGCCAUUGAACUGAAUACUCUUCUGGCCUCAUUUGACUUGGAAAGACUACACACCACAGCAACUCACAGGUCGGGCAACCAGCUGGACCUCAUUUUUACACACCAGCACGGACUACACCACCCAGCCCCUGGCUGUCUGACGUCCUUCGUGAACAUCGGACUGAUCUCAGGGCAGCUGAGAGGAGAUGGCGGAAAUCUAAAGAUCCAGCUGAUCUAGGUAAAUAUCAGCUUCUGCUCGCAACUUUUUCAAAUAACGCUAAAACUGCAAAAACUUCAUAUUACCAGACCAAGAUCAACAGCACCACAGACACUCGUAGCUUGUUUAGAACAUUUAACACACUUCUCUGCCCUCCCCCUCCACCACCUGACACAUCACUGACAGCAGAUAUAUUCGCCACAUUUUUUACUGAUAAGGUUACAGCCAUCAGCAAUACAUUCACUGCACCACACCCUGUCAAACACCUGGCUCCUGUAUGCAACCCUUCUUUCCCUAUGUUCUCUCCUUUAACUGACACUGAGGUCUCUAAACUCCUCCUCUCCAACCAACCCACAACCUGUUCCCUUGACCCCAUUCCAUCACACCUUCUCCAGGCCAUCUCUCCGUCCAUCCUACCUGCACUUACACACAUAAUUAACACAUCCCUUCUUGCAGGCACUUUUCCCACUACAUUUAAGCAGGCUCGAGUAACCCCACUGCUGAAAAAACCUGCACUUAACCCCACACAGAUAGAACACUACAGACCAGUCUCUCUCAUCCCAUUCAUGGCAAAAACACUUGAAAGGGCAGUUUUCAAUCAGAUCUCCGCCUAUCUCUCACAGAACAAGCUGCUGGAUGACAAUCAGUCGGGCUUCAAAAGUGGACACUCCACUGAGACUGCCCUGCUGUCUGUCAUCGAGUCGCUGAGACAGGCGAGAGCUGAAUCGAGAUCGUCCGUUCUGAUUUUGCUGGACCUUUCUGCUGCCUUUGACACAGUCAACCAUCAGAUCCUACUCUCCACCCUCUCUAAACUGGGUAUCACUGGAACUGUGCUUGACUGGUUCAACUCUUAUCUCUCAGAAAGGUCCUUUGAGGUAGCAUGGAGAGGGGAAGUAUCCAAGCCACACAAGUUACUUACUGGGGUACCUCAGGGAUCAGUGCUUGGGCCA